This 494-nucleotide ribosomal RNA is filed under the name uncultured bacterium. RNAcentral's name for it is "partial 16S ribosomal RNA". It matches the Rfam family "Bacterial small subunit ribosomal RNA", at positions 30 to 507 of the family's 1533-position model. The record is from RNAcentral.
AUUGAACGCUGGCGGCAUGCUUUACACAUGCAAGCCGAACGGCAGCGGGGAGGAGCUUGCUUCUCUGCCGGCGAGUGGCGAACGGGUGAGUAAUACAUCGGAACGUGUCGAGAAGAGGGGGAUAACCACCCGAAAGGGUGGCUAAUACCGCAUAAAUUCUGAGGAAGAAAGCUGGGGACCUAGGAAUAGGCCUAGCGCUUUUUGAGCGGCCGAUGUCGGAUUAGCUAGUUGGUGAGGUAAAGGCUCACCAAGGCGAAGAUCUGUAGCGGGUCUGAGAGGAUGAUCCGCCACACUGGGACUGAGACACGGCCCAGACUCCUACGGGAGGCAGCAGUGGGGAAUUUUGGACAAUGGGGGCAACCCUGAUCCAGCCAUGCCGCGUGUAUGAAGAAGGCCUUAGGGUUGUAAAGUACUUUUGUUAGGGAAGAAAAGUCAGCUGUGAAUAAUGGCUGAUACUGACGGUACCUAAAGAAUAAGCACCGGCUAACUACGUG